Molecule: ribosomal RNA, 477 nt
Filed under: uncultured bacterium
Lineage: Bacteria
Description: SSU rRNA
Rfam family: Bacterial small subunit ribosomal RNA
Source: RNAcentral
AGGACGAACGCUGGCGGCGUGCUUAACACAUGCAAGUCGAGCGGUGAUCCUCCUUCGGGAGGUGAUCAGCGGCGAACGGGUGAGUAACACGUGGGCAACCUGCCCCUCACACUGGGAUAACCUCGGGAAACCGGGGCUAAUACCGGAUACGACCUCGAGCGGCAUCUCUUGAGGUGGAAAGCUCCGACGGUGAGGGAUGGGCCCGCGGCCUAUCAGCUUGUUGGUGGGGUAAUGGCCUACCAAGGCGACGACGGGUAGCCGGCCUGAGAGGGCGACCGGCCACGACUGGGACUGAGACACGGCCCAGACUCCUACGGGAGGCAGCAGUGGGGAAUAUUGCGCAAUGGGCGAAAGCCUGACGCAGCGACGCCGCGUGAGGGAUGACGGCCUUGGGUUGUAAACCUCUUUCAGCAGGGACGAAGCGAAAGUGACGGUACCUGCAGAAGAAGCACCGGCUAACUACGUGCCAGCAGCCGC